Molecule: long non-coding RNA, 2416 nt
Filed under: Mytilus galloprovincialis (Mediterranean mussel)
Lineage: Eukaryota; Metazoa; Mollusca; Bivalvia; Mytilida; Mytilidae
Source: RNAcentral
UGUGUAUUCAUUCACUUUUCGUGGAAACCAAUAUUUGUGAUUAGAAAAAUUAUUUUAUAUCUCAUCCUGUGUUGCGUUUUCAUUCAAGCGUCAAACAUGCUACUCAACUCUAGAGUUGAUGUGAACCGUGCUAUUCAGUCGCAGGACUUUACAUAUUUGAGUUGAUUUAAAAUAAUAUAUAAGUAAGCAAUGAAUGUCAGUCACAUGACUUCAAAUAUUUGGGUUGAUUUAAAAUACAUAUAAAUGCAAUGAAUGUGACUGUUAAAUUUUAUGUAUGCUUUUUGUCCCUCUGUGUUGAAUGUUUGUUUGUUUUUGUUCUUAUUGAGAUUGUGACACAGUAAUGGCUGCUAUGCUCCUGUUUUGACAAUUUUACCUAUUACAUCUGUUUUGCUCACGCAUCGUUAUAAAUAUAAUGGAAAUUGAUGCGACUGUCAUACAAGUGAGAGGUUUAGCAUUAUAAAACCAGGUUCAAUCCACCAUUUUAUAUACAUUGGAAAAAGCCUGUACCAAGUCAGGAAUAUGACAGGUGUUAUCCAUUCAUUUGAUGUGUUUGAGCUUUUAUUUUGCCAUUUGAUUGGGGACUUUCCAUUUUGAAUUUUCCUCAGAUUUCAGAAUUUUUAUGAUUUUACUUUUUGAAAUCAAUGAUGAUACAAAUUCGUAUAACUUUAUUGAAUUGUGACAUAAUAUUAAUAAUGCCAGUCUGAAAAAUCUGAAUGCUUAUUUUACAUGAAUUACAUUAAGAUAUGAAGAAUUGAUUGGUGUGUCGCAUGAUUGCCUAUUAACCAAUCAGAUUACAAGGAUCAAAUAAAAUAUCUUACCGAUGACCAUUGUGUUUUAAAAAUUAUAAAAGAUUUUCUUUAGAACAUAGGUUACUAUAAAAGUAUAAACAUCCUAGAUAAUCCUUCAUUAAGGUGGUACCUAGCACUACAGGGAGAUAACUCUGUAAAAUCAGAUAAAUGUUUUAAUUACGUUGUGUUGAUAAGGUAACAUUAAGCUUCUCAAUUAUCAAAAUAAGUGUUUGUCAAACUGCUAUAUAACCAGUGUAAUUUUUCUGAUAAAAUGAUUGGUUCAAUUUUUUUGAAAUUUUUAUAUUUUUGUCAAAGGGUCAAUAUAAAAUUGAGAAUGGAAAUGGGGUACCGGUACUUACUUUGUCAAAAUUUUAUGUGAAAAUUAAAAGAACCAAAUUAAUUUUAGUGAAGGUGUUGGGUACUACUUUAAAUAUCAAUUGCAUUCAAGAGAGGCUACAAUGUUAUAUUCUGAUCAGGUGAAUAUGUAUAUAUUCAAGCAAUAUUCUUUCAUAUAUAUUUAAUCUUUAUUGAUUAUCAUACAGUUUUUAUAAAUAAAAAUAAUACUCAGGGUAGAUCCAGGAUUUGAAGAAAGUGGGACGGUUAUUGUCCAUAAUGGUGAAAAUGGUUCUGGGGUUGGAACCCCCUUUUUUUGGACGAUCAAUUCAUUUGAAUGGGACAUAUAGUUGGAAACCCCCCCUUCUUUGUCCUUGGUUAGGAAACCCUUUUUAAAAUGGCUGGAUCUGCCCCUGAAACUACAGCUAACAUUGAACCAAAGUUUUUUUAUUCCUUACUUACUUUGAAUGAAAAACAUUUAAUCAAAUAAGAGAUAAAAAAAUUAAGGACAAAAAUGUUGAAGAAUCAGAGGAAAUUGUAAUAAUAAUUCAAUGAGUGAUACUGGUCUUAUGAGUACCUUAUGAGUAUGAAUCCAAACUGAUAGCAAUGAAAUAAGUCAUGAAUCUAAUACUAAGGUAAUACAACAAUGGUUGUUUUAUAAAAAAGGCUCACUACAAAAGCAACAGGAUUCAAAUUCAAGCAAAACUAUACUUACAACAAUUAGGAGAUAACGGUAUUGUAUUUUAUUUAAUGGUUGCAAAUUAAAUUUCCUGGGGAAGCGUUAGCGGAGAUAGUAAACAGGUAUUUGUGACCAUCAAAUUGUAGCCGUUGGAGCUUAAAAUAUAAUAUUGUUAUCUCCAUUCUAAUGCAACUUACAGAAAACAACAUUAAAACAUGUAUUUAAAAUCUGUCAUAUAUUGUCAGGGGUUGUGUGUAUGUUUCAUAGCAUCAAUUGUCAAUUGAUGUCAUGAAAAUUAGUGACGUUAUCCAAUCAAAUUGAACAUUACAAACUUUGUAGCAUUAGAAUCAACAAUGACUACAUUAAUCAAUAUAUAUAUAUAUAAUUACCACAGAUUUCACCAAAUUUGCAAUUAUCAUGGAAAGCACUCAUAUCUAAAUUAACAACACAUGGAUCUUCAGCUUUCCAUAAUUUUAUUUGAAAUACUGAACUGACUCAUUUUUUUCUCUCAUUAAAUUGAUAUGAAUGUGUUCCUAAAAUAACAUUUUCUUUAAACAGGAUCUAUAAGAUAAUUUCUAUUACUGUAAAUUCAAAAAUUAUUGCUAGCAUUUAUUAU